This 522-nucleotide long non-coding RNA is filed under the name Gadus morhua (Atlantic cod). Its description in RNAcentral is "lncRNA (ENSGMOG00000032532.1)". The record is from RNAcentral. Lineage: Eukaryota; Metazoa; Chordata; Actinopteri; Gadiformes; Gadidae.
AUGUCUCCGGGUCUAACAAUGACAAUGUUUGGUUUGUUUUAUUUCCAAGACGGCUCCGUUAGAGCAGAAAAUACAUCCGUCAUACGUGAUGCAUACAGAAAUAAAAAAAUAAUGGUUAACUGCAGGGAAGACCUCGAGUCGGAGCAGGGCUGGAUAGAGGUAAUUUGGCCUACACAACGGCGACAACAAGAGGCGAAGCCUAUUGCAGCCAAAUUGCUUUUCGUUGGAGAAGUCUACCAAGAACUUGCCCAAAAGCGUGACUCAUUUAGCCGAGGGGAGGAAAUAUGGUCUGUUCCAGUGUCCCAGAAAAAAAGCAGAAAGACAGGAAAUCAAGCAAAGGAGGUGGUAACCUUACGGAAUCAAGCCACGACAUCUGGUUCACAGGCGGCAACUUCCAUGUGCGACCAGCUUAAGAGCUACCUCCAUCCAUCUACUCUGCUCCAGAUUGGUCUGAUGACUCGGAUGAAACAUCCUGUGAUUAUUUGGGCCGUUCAAAAUGCGGAAGGUGGUACUGACCAGUGA